Molecule: ribosomal RNA, 454 nt
Filed under: Vibrio rotiferianus
Lineage: Bacteria; Pseudomonadati; Pseudomonadota; Gammaproteobacteria; Vibrionales; Vibrionaceae
Description: bacterial SSU rRNA
Rfam family: Bacterial small subunit ribosomal RNA
Source: RNAcentral
AAAUUGAAGAGUUUGAUCAUGGCUCAGAUUGAACGCUGGCGGCAGGCCUAACACAUGCAAGUCGAGCGGAAACGAGUUAUCUGAACCUUCGGGGGACGAUAACGGCGUCGAGCGGCGGACGGGUGAGUAAUGCCUAGGAAAUUGCCCUGAUGUGGGGGAUAACCAUUGGAAACGAUGGCUAAUACCGCAUAAUGCCUACGGGCCAAAGAGGGGGACCUUCGGGCCUCUCGCGUCAGGAUAUGCCUAGGUGGGAUUAGCUAGUUGGUGAGGUAAUGGCUCACCAAGGCGACGAUCCCUAGCUGGUCUGAGAGGAUGAUCAGCCACACUGGAACUGAGACACGGUCCAGACUCCUACGGGAGGCAGCAGUGGGGAAUAUUGCACAAUGGGCGCAAGCCUGAUGCAGCCAUGCCGCGUGUGUGAAGAAGGCCUUCGGGUUGUAAAGCACUUUCAGUC